AAAGCCCAGUUCUACUGUGGCCGACGUGGCGCUUUCUCUGCGCUCGCGACGAAGAGAGAAAGAGAGAGAGAGCAGAGAGAGAGAGGGAGAGAGAGCAGACAGAGAGAGAGAGAGAGGGAAAGAGAGGGAAAGAGAGCAGACAGAGAGAGAGGGAGAGAGAGAUGAGAGAGAGCAGACAGAGAGAGAGAGAGAGGUAGAGAGAGAGAGGUAGAAAGAGAGGGGGGGGCACGGGAG
This 234-nucleotide long non-coding RNA is filed under the name Ananas comosus (pineapple). RNAcentral's name for it is "long non-coding RNA (ACOM_LNC034480)". Lineage: Eukaryota; Viridiplantae; Streptophyta; Magnoliopsida; Poales; Bromeliaceae. The record is from RNAcentral.